This 382-nucleotide ribosomal RNA is filed under the name uncultured archaeon. RNAcentral's name for it is "bacterial SSU rRNA". It matches the Rfam family "Archaeal small subunit ribosomal RNA", at positions 345 to 727 of the family's 1478-position model. The record is from RNAcentral.
AAACUCUACAAUGCAGGCAACUGCGAUAGGGGAACAUCGAGUGUCGUCCAUAUUGGAUGGCUGUCCACCCGCCUAAAAAGCGGGUGUUAGCAAGGGCCGGGCAAGACCGGUGCCAGCCGCCGCGGUAAUACCGGCGGCUCGAGUGGUGGCCGAUAUUAUUGAGUCUAAAGGGUCCGUAGCCGGCUUUGCAAGUCUCUCGGGAAAUCCAGCGGCUUAACCGUUGGGCGUCUGGGGGCUACUACAUUGCUUGGGACUGGGAGAGGCGAGAGGUACUCAGGGGGUAGGAGUGAAAUCCUGUAAUCCUUUGGGGACCACCGGUGGCGAAGGCGUCUCGCCAGAACAGGUCCGACGGUGAGGGACGAAAGCUAGGGGCACGAACCGG